Molecule: non-coding RNA, 570 nt
Organism: Styela clava
Lineage: Eukaryota; Metazoa; Chordata; Ascidiacea; Stolidobranchia; Styelidae
Source: RefSeq, a predicted model, not a curated record
CUCUUUACACAACUUGAUGUAAAGUAAGUGAACAAAAUUAGUUAUUUUCAUAUUGGUACACAUACUUCUGGAGCGCAGGUUUCAGUCUUUCCUGGUUGUUAUUUUCAUGUACUGUUUAUUAUUGUAAUAUUAUCUGUAUUAUCAAUCACUGCAUGUAUUUUUAGAAAUUCAGAUUCUAGAUAAAAUAAUUUACUUUGUUCAACAAAAGGAGGGGAAACCACCUACUUAAAAUUAAACCUGACAACACUUCGUAGCAAAGGCCAUGUCAAGUCCUGAGGAGGAGGGGGAACCCCCUGCCAGAAUGAUAAAGCUAUGCUCACAUGAUUCACUGUCAAGAUCGAACCUAGUGGUUGCAAACAAAACUGAAUAUGAUGUCACAAUAGAGUGGAUUGAUUUGGCAGGUGACCGAGUUUGCUAUAUAAAACAAUUACGUCCAGGAAAAGCAGUUGCAAUUGUUACUUACGUCGGCCAUUAUUGGGUGUUUUGUGAAACAAACUCUCGUCACCCUCUAGUGGUGAUUCCAGGAAGGCAUUCUGUUUAUUUCCCGAUACCAAGUCACGAACGUGAAUA